Molecule: ribosomal RNA, 349 nt
Filed under: Cercocebus sp. Y45
Lineage: Eukaryota; Metazoa; Chordata; Mammalia; Primates; Cercopithecidae
Description: partial 12S small subunit ribosomal RNA
Source: RNAcentral
UUAGCCUUAAACCUCAAUAGUUGUAUAACAAAACUAUUCGCCAGAAUACUACAAGCAACAGCUUGAAACUCAAAGGACUUGGCGGUGCUUUAUAUUCCCCCUAGAGGAGCCUGUUCCAUAAUCGAUAAACCCCGAUCCACCCCACCCUCUCUUGCUCAGCCUAUAUACCGCCAUCUUCAGCAAACCCUGAUAAAGGUUACAAAGUGAGCGCAAAUGCCCCCCACCGCAAAAACGUUAGGUCAAGGUGUAGCCCAUGAGAUGGUAAAAAAUGGGCUACAUUUUCUACCUCAGAAAACCCUACGAUACCUCUUAUGAAACCUAAGAGCCCAAGGAGGAUUUAGCAGUAAAU